GUAGGUGGCAAGCGUUGUCCGGAAUUAUUGGGCGUAAAGCGCGCGCAGGCGGUUCUUUAAGUCUGAUGUGAAAGCCCACGGGCUCAACCGUGGAGGGUCAUUGGAAACUGGAGAACUGAGUACAGAAGAGGAAAGCGGAAUUCCACGUGUAGCGGUGAAAUGCGUAGAGAUGUGGAGGAACACCAGUGGCGAAGGCGGCUUUCUGGUCUGUAACUGACGCUGAGGCGCGAAAGCGUGGGGAGCAAACAGGAUUAGAUACCCUGGUAGUCCACGCCGUAAACGAUGAGUGCUAAGUGUUAGGGGGUUUCCGCCCCUUAGUGCUGCAGCUAACGCAUUAAGCACUCCGCCUGGGGAGUACGGCCGCAAGGCUG
This 371-nucleotide ribosomal RNA is filed under the name uncultured organism. Its description in RNAcentral is "partial 16S ribosomal RNA". It matches the Rfam family "Bacterial small subunit ribosomal RNA", at positions 527 to 896 of the family's 1533-position model. The record is from RNAcentral.